UCUGCAUGACCCACAGAAUAUGGCUGAAAACAUGCUGCUGACUUCCAAAUCCAGGUCAUAGAACUCACCGAAGCUUCUGCGUUGAUCCCGUGGACUCCUUGCUCUGGAGGAAGCUGGCAGACAUGAAGUGGUGAUGUUCAAGCAGCCCAUGUCAAGACGAAGGCCUCCUGCCAACAGCCAGUAUCAGCCUGGCACUUAUGUGGGUACACCAUUUUGGAAGUCGAUCCUCCGGCCAACAUUUGACUACAACCUCACAAGAGAUCAAGAACCAGAGCAGCCCAGCCAAACUCCUCCCAAAUUUCUGAUAAUCAGAAAUGACCCCUACAGGAGGACUGAGGUGUUUGAAUGGAGAAUAGGGGAGGAGUUCUUCCUUCUCUUUCUCUUUUGAGUUUUCUCUGCCAGCAGGGAACACGCAAUCCGCGCUGUUCUUCCGUGUAUCUGUCUAGCACCAUAGAUGAUGAGCCUGUCCUUCUGCCUGAAGAGAAGAUAAGGCCCGACUGUCUCUUCUGCAUUCUGCAUCUCUGAGUAUCCACUUCAAAACUACAUGCAGGGCUCCUUGGACGCAUGGGAGAAUCUGGUUGCCUAAUAUUCUGAGAAAAUUUAGCAGACAGUCAGCUGUGGCCUAGCUCUGGCCUUUAUGGUGAUAACAUCAUAGAUGGUCAGAUGUCCUUCAUCAGCUAUCUGUAACCUCAUUAUUUAGCAGAUGGAUUAGUAGAGUCCUGUGGAAAGCAGAUAAUGAGACUGAGAUCUAUCUGAAAUGUGCCCUGCCUCUUUCUUUCACAAGGCUGUUGUAUAUGCAAGUCCCUCUGCCCGGGGUGCUGCCCACCAUCUUUUCCACAUCAGAAAUACAGCAUGAUGCAGUUUGUUGUUUGCUGAUUUUCUUCCAUAUCCAACAUGCUCCAAAUGUUUUUUUUUUUUUUUAAUUGAGCAAAAUAAG
Molecule: long non-coding RNA, 937 nt
Organism: Mustela lutreola (European mink)
Lineage: Eukaryota; Metazoa; Chordata; Mammalia; Carnivora; Mustelidae
Exons: 4
Source: RefSeq, a predicted model, not a curated record